Molecule: ribosomal RNA, 157 nt
Filed under: Bipolaris sp. SZ-2011
Lineage: Eukaryota; Fungi; Ascomycota; Dothideomycetes; Pleosporales; Pleosporaceae
Description: 5.8S ribosomal RNA
Rfam family: 5.8S ribosomal RNA
About the family: 5.8S ribosomal RNA (5.8S rRNA) is a component of the large subunit of the eukaryotic ribosome. It is transcribed by RNA polymerase I as part of the 45S precursor that also contains 18S and 28S rRNA.
Source: RNAcentral
CAACGGAUCUCUUGGUUCUGGCAUCGAUGAAGAACGCAGCGAAAUGCGAUACGUAGUGUGAAUUGCAGAAUUCAGUGAAUCAUCGAAUCUUUGAACGCACAUUGCGCCCUUUGGUAUUCCAAAGGGCAUGCCUGUUCGAGCGUCAUUUGUACCCUCA